Molecule: ribosomal RNA, 386 nt
Filed under: uncultured bacterium
Lineage: Bacteria
Description: bacterial SSU rRNA
Rfam family: Bacterial small subunit ribosomal RNA
Source: RNAcentral
AUUGAACGCUGGCGGCAUGCUUUACACAUGCAAGUUGAACGGCAGCGCGGGGGCAACCCUGGCGGCGAGUGGCGAACGGGUGAGUAAUGCAUCGGAACGUAUCCUGUAAUGGGGGAUAACGUAGCGAAAGUUACGCUAAUACCGCAUACGCUCGAGAGAGGAAAGUGGGGAUCGCAAGACCUCACGUUAUAGGAGCGGCCGAUGUCCGAUUGGCUAGUUGGUGGGGUAAAGGCCUACCAAGGCGACGAUCGGUAGCUGGUCUGAGAGGAUGAUCAGCCACACUGGGACUGAGACACGGCCCAGACUCCUACGGGAGGCAGCAGUGGGGAAUUUUGGACAAUGGGCGAAAGCCUGAUCCAGCCAUGCCGCGUGCGGGAAGAAGGCCU